GAUGAACGCUGGCGGCGUGCCUAAUACAUGCAAGUCGAGCGAACGGACGAGAAGCUUGCUUCUCUGAUGUUAGCGGCGGACGGGUGAGUAACACGUGGAUAACCUACCUAUAAGACUGGGAUAACUUCGGGAAACCGGAGCUAAUACCGGAUAAUAUUUUGAACCGCAUGGUUCAAAAGUGAAAGACGGUCUUGCUGUCACUUAUAGAUGGAUCCGCGCUGCAUUAGCUAGUUGGUAAGGUAACGGCUUACCAAGGCAACGAUGCAUAGCCGACCUGAGAGGGUGAUCGGCCACACUGGAACUGAGACACGGUCCAGACUCCUACGGGAGGCAGCAGUAGGGAAUCUUCCGCAAUGGGCGAAAGCCUGACGGAGCAACGCCGCGUGAGUGAUGAAGGUCUUCGGAUCGUAAAACUCUGUUAUUAGGGAAGAACAUAUGUGUAAGUAACUGUGCACAUCUUGACGGUACCUAAUCAGAAAGCCACGGCUAACUACGUGCCAGCAGCCGCGGUAAUACGUAGGUGGGAAGCGUUAUCCCGAAUUAUUGGGCGUAAAGCGCGCGUAGGCGGUUUUUUAGUCUGAUGUGAAAACCCCGGCGUCACCGUGGAGGGUCAUUGGAAACGGGAAAACUUGAGUGCAGAAGAGGAAAGUGGAAGUCCAUGUGUAGCGGGAAAAUGCGCAGAGAUAUGGAGGAACACCAGUGGGGAAGGCGACUUUCUGGUCUGUAACUGACGCUGAUGUGCGAAAGCGUGGGGAUCAAACAGGAUUAGAUACCCUGGUAGUCCACGCCGUAAACGAUGAGUGCUAAGUGUUAGGGGGUUUCCGCCCCUUAGUGCUGCAGCUAACGCAUUAAGCACUCCGCCUGGGGAGUACGACCGCAAGGUUGAAACUCAAAGGAAUUGACGGGGACCCGCACAAGCGGUGGAGCAUGUGGUUUAAUUCGAAGCAACGCGAAGAACCUUACCAAAUCUUGACAUCCUUUGACAACUCUAGAGAUAGAGCUUUCCCCUUCGGGGGACAAAGUGACAGGUGGUGCAUGGUUGUCGUCAGCUCGUGUCGUGAGAUGUUGGGUUAAGUCCCGCAACGAGCGCAACCCUUAAGCUUAGUUGCCAUCAUUAAGUUGGGCACUCUAAGUUGACUGCCGGUGACAAACCGGAGGAAGGUGGGGAUGACGUCAAAUCAUCAUGCCCCUUAUGAUUUGGGCUACACACGUGCUACAAUGGACAAUACAAAGGGCAGCGAAACCGCGAGGUCAAGCAAAUCCCAUAAAGUUGUUCUCAGUUCGGAUUGUAGUCUGCAACUCGACUACAUGAAGCUGGAAUCGCUAGUAAUCGUAGAUCAGCAUGCUACGGUGAAUACGUUCCCGGGUCU
Molecule: ribosomal RNA, 1370 nt
Filed under: uncultured bacterium
Lineage: Bacteria
Description: bacterial SSU rRNA
Rfam family: Bacterial small subunit ribosomal RNA
Source: RNAcentral